UACGGAGGCGGCGAGCGUUGUCCGGAAUUACUGGGUGUAAAGGGCGUGUAGGCGGGACUGCAAGUUGGAGGUGAAAUUCCGGGGCUUAACCUCGGCGCUGCAUCCGAAACUGCAUUUCUUGAGUGCUGGAGAGGAAAGCGGAAUGCCUAGUGUAGCGGUGAAAUGCGUAGAUAUUAGGAGGAACACCAGUGGCGAAGGCGGCUUUCUGGACAGUAACUGACGCUGAGGCGCGAAAGCGUGGGGCGCAAACAGG
Molecule: ribosomal RNA, 253 nt
Filed under: uncultured bacterium
Lineage: Bacteria
Description: partial 16S ribosomal RNA
Rfam family: Bacterial small subunit ribosomal RNA
Source: RNAcentral